CCCGCCCAGGAGGACGCCCUUUCAGCCCAGGAAUCACCCACUUUCCAUUUCCAGGUUCCACCAGGCAGGCCUCGUGCCCGGGUCAGACUCGCACCUGGCUCAGGCUUCCUCUGUGCUUCCUGGUUGGUGAAACUGGGGGUCCUUCGGGAGGAUGCCCAGCACCCUGUAUGUGCACACACACCCAUACACACCCAGCACACACACACCCCCAUAUGCACACACACCCCCAUACACACACAGCACACACACCCAUACACACACAGCACACACACCCAUAUGCACAUGCACACCCAUAUAUACACAGCACACACACCCAGCACACACACCCAUACACACCCAGCACACACACACCCAUAUGCACACACACACCCAUAUACACACAGCACACACACCCAUACACAUCCAGCACACACACCUGUACACACCCAGCACACACACCCCUACACACAGAGCACACAUACAUACCCAUACGCGCACACACACAUACACACACAUACACAGCACACACACCCAUACACAUACAGCACACACACCUGUACACACCCAGCACACACACCCGUACACAGCCAGCACACAUACAUACCCAUACACGCACACACACACACCCAGCACACACACUUGUACACACCCAGGGCGUGCACACUCAGCACACACCCAUAUGCACCCACAGCGCACACACACGCACGCACACACACCCCCAUACACACAUAGCACACACAGACGUACACACACAUGUACACACACAGCACACACACGUACACAUACAGCACAUGCGUACACAUGUACGUACACACCCAUGCACACACACCUGUACACACACACAUGCACAUACUCCCCCUCCGUCUGCCAGUCCCAACAGCUGCAUCUGCACCCGCCCUGUCGGCUGCACUCCCAGGCGGUGAGGUCCACGAGGGGAGCCUGCCAAGCUCACUGCUGAGACCACUGGGCCGGGCCAGCCAGGGAGGUGCACGGGGCACAGGAUGCUGAGGAGGCAAACAGCAGGGGCAGAUGCCCGGAGGGGCAGGAGAAGCUUCCUGGAGAGGUGACAUCAAAAGGAAGGAGCAGGCUGACGGGGGCUGGCGGCUCCCCACCCACUGUGUCCCACCCUGGCCCGCUGAUAGCAGAACUGACAUUUGUCACCCACUCUCCACCUCGGGCAGCGCUGCUCACUGUCCUGCCCUUCCUUUGCCACUCCCAGGGGGUCUGUGAAAGGUCAGGCAUGUGACGUCCACACCUCUGAUGGAGAAAAGACCUUUCAGACAAAGAGAGAUGUCAAAGCCAGCAUGCCACCCAGCCGUCGCCCAGAGAUGACCCGCUGCCCCACUGCCAAGGGAUAGGCCAGCCUCCGCUGGCUCUUCAAUGGGGCGGGGGCAGCCCUCACCUCCCUACCGGCCCCGGCCAGCAGCUCUGUCCUGGGUCCAGCCCGUUGCCGGGAGUUAAACACGGGGCUCUCCAGGAGAGACCGGCACAGAUUCCGGGUGUCAGUUCCCAAAAUGCCGCCAGAGGAAGUAGCAGGACAGAACGGAGGACGCCCUCCCCAAGACGCUGGCGUCCACCUUGCUUAUAAUUUUGAAAAGGUGGAACUGCCAACUGUCCUUUGAUGAGAGAGGGUCAAAGGAGUCAUGAUAGAGGUCUCCACAAGAGUCAAACACCGCCAGUAAAUUUGUGUGAAUUGAUGUGGAAAACAGCCCAAGAUACAUCAUGAGUGACAAGGGCAGGUGGUGGCGUGGUCCGUUGUGUGAUGGAGGCCCCAGGUGAACAGAGACACUGGGGGACCACGGCUGGGGGUCACCCCUCUCCUAUGACUCUCUCUGCUGCAGCAGCUGUGUGUGACGACACGGCAUUGGCGUGUGACCGGUGACCUGGAGAGCCCGUGCCUCGCAGGCUCUGUGGGGGACGCCCCAUUGUCAGCCACGUUGGUGCGAGCCCUGGGUCGGGGACAAGCAGAGUGUUCACAGGACACCUCCCUCUGGGGUGGGUGGGGCUCCUGGGUCCUGGGAGCCAGGCUCUUCCUUCCCAUAAUUCCCUGCCUCCUAUUUGCAGAGGGUCUCCCCCAGGGGACUCGGGGGAAGCUGCACGAGUUCACAGGACUCUGGGGCGUCUGCUGAAGCCUGGGGCAUCACCCCACUGAGGCAUAGGGUGGGUGUGCCUGUGUGUGCACAUGUGCGUGUGUGCACGCGUGACCAUGCACACACACACACCCACUCACUCUUAAAGUUCUGUGCCCGUGAAGGGUGGGUUCAAACCUGAUCCUGGAGUGGGUUCCCAUCCCGGCUCUGGCACCUGCAAGUGGCUUGACCUUGGGCGGAUCAUGUCGCCCUGCUGCCUCGGCUCUCGCAUCCGCCAGGGGCCCAGGCGGGGACCGGGCUCAUGGGGCAGCGUGAGGAUGAAUCGCUCCGUCUCUGCGGAGCUCCGAGGAUGCCCCUGGCCACAGCGGUGCUCGAUGGCUGUCAUCCGGCAGCUCCAGGCCCUGAGGUGGCCGCCUUCCGGUCUAAGGCUGGAGCCGGAGGACCGGCUGUACCGAGAGGCAAGACUCCCGGUUCGAGACGCUUCCUCUCCGGGCCGGCUCCUCGGGGCACAGAGAUGAACCAUGCAGAGCAGUCGCUCCCCGUGCUGGCCUGGCUCCCCAGAGAUGGCCCACGGGGGCCACUUUGUACAGGGUCCCCUUCUGCUCUCUGUCUGCCACGGCCUCACAGAGCACGGCGUCUUCUUGUUUGGUCUCAAGGAGAAAGAAUGAAGGCGUCUUCUUGUUUGGUCUCAAGGAGAAAGAAUGAAGUCAGCUGAAGACCCAGCGGGAGGCUCACUGGGAGUUCUCUGACGGGACUUUCUCCAAGGCCAUGGGGGGCGUCUGGUCCACAUUCCAAGGCCCAGCUUUUCUCUGGAGGAUGAAGACCUGCCUUCUCCUCCGGAAAGAAACGCAUCUGUUUGCAAGGCACAGGGCACAAAAGAGCAAGACAAAGACGAGGACGGCGGAGGAGGAUGGAGUUCGCGUCCUGGGACACCAGGGCGUUCAUUGAAAAUUAAGGCUUUACAGGGAACGUGCACACAAGCCUGCUCCCUCACGAGGAAGGACAGCGCAGCCUUCCCCAGAAGGCCUGGGCAACUUCGCCCGGAAAGGAGGGCCCCUGGGGAAGCCUGCCUCCCCCCCAGUCCCCUCCCCCUCCUCCAAGCUGCAGUUGUGGGGACUGUAAAUGGGGCCGCUGCCCGUCUCCUGCCCGGCCCCUCCGAUCUCUGACGACAGCACCGCCGAGGGGCAGAGCUCCUGAACCACGGCCGGAGCUGUGGGGACGGCGCCCUUCGCCCUUGGGGGUGAGAGGGCUUCUGGGCUCCGAGAGCCCGGGUCACGUUCCCAGUCGCCUCUGGCAGUGGUCUGUGCUGGGGGCGCAGAGCCAACACUGAGCUGAUGAUGGGGAUGCAAAGCCCUGUCUCAGUCUGAGUGCGGCCCGUGAGGAGCUCCCGGGCAGGGACGACAGGUGGCAUCUGGAAGGCUGUUCCCAGGACGACCCGCGUGAAUGCGCCUCUCCCCCCUCGCAGCUGAGAAGCGGGGCAGGCGCCUCCCGCUGUGCACCGAGGACAACGUGGACCACGGCUGGGGGUUAUUACUCUUCUCGCAUCCCAGUUGUGAUGGCACGUCAUGUUCCACGGCUUUGGAAUGAAGAAAACUCGGCUCCACCAAGGGCGGAGGCGGGGAGAGAGGUGGAAGACAUGGUGCCAGUUCC
Molecule: long non-coding RNA, 3719 nt
Organism: Equus caballus (horse)
Lineage: Eukaryota; Metazoa; Chordata; Mammalia; Perissodactyla; Equidae
Source: Ensembl